CUUAGUUCUGAAUUGCUGCAUUUUACUGUUUUCUAACUUACUGUGAUCAAUCAUAAGUUCAUAACUGAGAAAUGACCACUUUCCUGUGUUCUGAUUUGGCUCUGCGCCAUUGUACUGAUAUAGUGAUAUCGUUACAUGCUCACUUUCUCCAGCUCCACUGAUGUCCACCAUGGAAUGAAAUUGAAAACGUAUCUGGCAACCCCAGGUACGUAUUAGGUUUUGAGCACCAGCUAGGAAGAAAAUACAAAGUACCUAGCUGCUUGAGGCAGGAGGAGUGACUAGCACUGACCAGGAGGAGCAAGAAGCAGCGACAGCUACCAUUGCUGGCUGAGCUGGCUGCUAGGUUGCCUCUCUCUUUCCCUCAUAUUCAUAUAUGUGGGUUUGCAACAGCCUAAAACUCAGGGGAGAAGGGGCCUCACGCUGAUGGUAUAUAAGCUUGGCAUAGGUGUGGACUUCAAUGUCAGGUUUUGUGAAGAAGCAUUGCAAGACUCCAUCAGAAAAUGGACCCCUGGUAGACUGCAUCCGCAUCGGCGCACGGGCGAUGCCGACAUUGCACAGCGGCAGAGUGUGCAGAGUCCGCGCUUCUGACGGACCUUCACCACCAACUACCGUGCUCUCUGCCAGCCUUCUCGCUCCUGCCCAUCUCUAUGCCACAGCCCACAGGCUGGCCCAACCUCUGCUGCCUUCCUUUUCUGCCUCAGCUCCCCUAAACUAUAUGCACCGGCGUGACCUGCUUUUGUGAGACAGGAACUUGGGCGUGGUUCAGUCUUUUUUGGGGGGCUCAGUUCAAUCUGUGGUGUGGUUCGGUUCAAUGAAAGAACGAAGAUGUCUUAUGACCCGCUCCUGCGUGAGAUAGAAAAUUGGGCUCGCAGUCUGGGCUUGCAGAGUUGCAGUUCAGUUAUGGUGUGAUUAAGUUGAGAGUAAAAGAUUCUCUCAAAUAAAAGUUGAGAGUAAAAGAAAGAAAAAGCAAAAGAGAGAGGAUAAGAAAUGUGUGCUAGAGAAAAAAUCCUUUCAUUUUUUUACUAUCCACUGCACCUGGACUUCCAUUAGCUGCGGUUUGGGACUAUCCAAAUUUUUAACAGUGUCUUUCUCCUCUCCUAUGUACAAUUUAGUGCUUCUGCUUACUUAUGUUAAGAUACAACUAUUUAGGAGUUUCUGCCAAGUAAAUAGAAGUGCGCUUUUC
Triticum dicoccoides is the source of this 1183-nucleotide long non-coding RNA. RefSeq lists it as uncharacterized. Lineage: Eukaryota; Viridiplantae; Streptophyta; Magnoliopsida; Poales; Poaceae. The record is from RefSeq and is a predicted model, not a curated record. The transcript has 4 exons.